RNAcentral lists this ribosomal RNA (705 nucleotides) under Triticum aestivum (bread wheat). RNAcentral's name for it is "partial small subunit ribosomal RNA". Lineage: Eukaryota; Viridiplantae; Streptophyta; Magnoliopsida; Poales; Poaceae. The record is from RNAcentral.
AUGGUGCGCCUGUCCAUCCCGCUGGGCGCCGAAGGGAUCAUCUUCGCGUCCUACGGCGACGACUGGCGCCAGCUCCGCAAGAUCUGCACCGUCGAGCUUCUCAGCGCCCGGCGCGUGCGCUCCUUCCGCCCCGUGCGCGAGGAGGAGGCCGGCCGGCUACUCCGUGCGGUGGCGCUGUCUGCAUCGCGGGGAACUGCGAACCUCAGCGAGCUGCUGUCGGUGUACACCGCCGACUCAUCAGUGCGCGCUGUCAUCGGGAGCAGAUUCAAGGAUCGGGGCGCGUUCCUGGCGUUGCUCCGGCGCGGGACCAAGCUAUUCGCCGGGAUGAGCUUGCCGGACCUCUAUCCGUCGUCGCGUGUGGCCAUGCUUCUCAGCCGGACGCCAGGCCGGAUGAGGCAGCACCGGCAGGAAUUGGCUGCGUUCAGGGACGCUAUUGUCCGGGAGCACCAGGAGGUCCGCCGGGCUGACGAGGAGGAGGAGGACCUCCUCGACGUGCUCCUGAGGAUCCAGCGGGAAGGCGACCUGCAGUUCCCCUUGUCUACCGACAACAUCAAGUCGGCCGUUGGCGACAUGUUCGCCGGGGGUAGCGAGACGGCGGCGACGACGCUGCAGUGGGCCAUGUCUGAGCUGGUUAGGAACCCGAGAACGAUGCUGACGGCACAAGACGAGGUCCGACUCGCGCUCGCCGGGCAGCCCAUGGUGUGA